AACCCGCUGCCGGAGCCGGCAGGGGGAAGUGACGUCUGUCUCUCCCUUUUUUCCCUCCCGCCCCGGCAUCUGUUCUCGCCCGAAGAAGCUGGUCCUUAGCCUGCGCUGCGGAGCAACCUUUCAGUGGCCAGCUGGAGCCUGGGCACCGUUCUUCAAAUAAUGGCUUUUAAUUCUCAGACGAGAACGUUUAGGAUUACAAAAGAAACCGGUUCUCUUCACAUCCUUAUCCUUGUCAUGUAGCAUUCCGCUUGAAAUUGGAAGCCGUUCAAUGUCAGAGAGAAACCAUAUUUAUGAAAUGAAAGAGGCUUCUCAGAUGACUGCAAACCAGCCUUCCUUACUGGUUUUAUCACUGGUAAUGUUAUAAAGACAGUUGUCCAGUUUCAUGAAUCUUGUAGGUUUUUGUUUGUUUAUUUGUUUGCUUUUGAUGUUGUUGUUGUUGCUGUUGUUUUCCAACUUCAGUAUUGUAGAAAAAUAUGCUGCCCCAGAAGAGAUGAUUGGACACUCUCCAGCGUGGUGUUGGACUUUGUCAUCUCUUGCACAGCCAUCUCCAGACCUUAGUGUUUACCUCACGUUAGUUUUUUAUAUUCUGCAAAGACAAAACCAAAAUAAUCCAAAUUUGACACAAAUACCUGGGAUACAUCUUAUUUGAGAUGUUUAACAAAUGUCUGGAUCAUCUUUUCUUACAUUGGAUUAUAACGCAGGAAACACUGUGAAGUAAGUAAAGUUGGAAUUCCCAAGUCAAAGACCAUUUGAAUAUUUACAAGUAGAUUUGAGGCAGGAAUAAUACAGGGUGGCCGCAGGGUAACAAAUUCUAGGCAGCAGAUUUACAUGACUUGAGGCUAUGGGCUGAUAAGACGCUGAAAAACCAGG
RNAcentral lists this long non-coding RNA (870 nucleotides) under Homo sapiens (human). Its description in RNAcentral is "non-protein coding lnc-PPIAL4F-3:1". Lineage: Eukaryota; Metazoa; Chordata; Mammalia; Primates; Hominidae. The record is from RNAcentral.